AAAGCUUGAUGAGGGCAUUUCAUGAGCAUUUCCUUAAACCUCUCCCAACUUUCAUAAUUUGAUACUCCUUCAAACUGAGAAAAAUGUGAUAUCAUUUUUAAAUUUAU
This is a small nucleolar RNA of Dendrobium catenatum, 107 nucleotides long. The record is from RefSeq and is a predicted model, not a curated record. Lineage: Eukaryota; Viridiplantae; Streptophyta; Magnoliopsida; Asparagales; Orchidaceae.